AGUGAACGCUGGCGGUAGGCCUAACACAUGCAAGUCGAACGGCAGCACAGUAAGAGCUUGCUCUUACGGGUGGCGAGUGGCGGACGGGUGAGGAAUACAUCGGAAUCUACUUUUUCGUGGGGGAUAACGUAGGGAAACUUACGCUAAUACCGCAUACGACCUACGGGUGAAAGCAGGGGAUCUUCGGACCUUGCGCGAUUGAAUGAGCCGAUGUCGGAUUAGCUAGUUGGCGGGGUAAAGGCCCACCAAGGCGACGAUCCGUAGCUGGUCUGAGAGGAUGAUCAGCCACACUGGAACUGAGACACGGUCCAGACUCCUACGGGAGGCAGCAGUGGGGAAUAUUGGACAAUGGGCGAAAGCCUGAUCCGGCCAUACCGCGUGGGUGAAGAAGGCCUUCGGGUUGUAAAGCCCUUUUGUUGGGAAAGAAAAGCAGCAGGUUAAUACCCCGCUGUUCUGACGGUACCCAAAGAAUAAGCACCGGCUAACUUCGUG
RNAcentral lists this ribosomal RNA (492 nucleotides) under uncultured bacterium. RNAcentral describes it as "partial 16S ribosomal RNA". It matches the Rfam family "Bacterial small subunit ribosomal RNA", at positions 29 to 507 of the family's 1533-position model. The record is from RNAcentral.